GUCUGGAUUUCCACUUCCCAGUUACUGAGUUAGCAGCAGAAACUUGAAACCUAUGGACAAUUUAAAAAUUAAUUUUACAAAAAUACUCUACAACCCCCCACCCCAGCCAAUGAGGAGCUGAGCUGUGUGGGCCACCUGUAGAACCCCCCCACACACACCAUCUGCCCAGGAGCAGAGCCAUGUGGGAGUCAGCAGCACCACCUGCCCCAGCUGCCAGCCAUGCAGUUAACUGGAUCCACACUGUAGAGGUGUAGGGUGUCAUAAAGGCCAUUGUUCUAAACUCUAGAAGAUAGAGAGUGAACAACAGAAAGAGGACCUCUCUCGGGCUCCUUAAUGAAAACUGAAGCCCACUGGAAAAAUGAAGGAAAUCUCUGGAAUAAAGGCAUACCAGAACACAGUAGUUGAGAAUUCUCAUCUUGGUGGACUGCGAGUGUGAAAGGAGUAGGUGUGGACCCCACAGCAGACCUGACGGACUGGAGGCGCUAACACCCUGAUCGUCAGGCUCCCGUGGACUUGUGCGGACAUCCGGCAGGGAUUCUUUUGUUAACCCCGUAUCUCCCCCUCUCCAUUCUUACCGACGUCACUCUUGGCACAGGUGAUGCCCGUGCUGCUUGAGGUUCCUAAGACCUUGUGCACGGCACAUCUUCACUCUGCCUACUUCCCCACAGAUG
This 671-nucleotide long non-coding RNA is filed under the name Fukomys damarensis (Damara mole-rat). RNAcentral's name for it is "lncRNA (ENSFDAG00000025636.1)". Lineage: Eukaryota; Metazoa; Chordata; Mammalia; Rodentia; Bathyergidae. The record is from RNAcentral.